UGCCUAAUACAUGCAAGUAGAACGCUGAAGGAGGAGCUUGCUUCUCUGGAUGAGUUGCGAACGGGUGAGUAACGCGUAAGUAACCUGCCUGGUAGCGGGGGAUAACUAUUGGAAACGAUAGCUAAUACCGCAUAAGAGUGGAUGUUGCAUGACAUUUACUUAAAAGGUGCAAUUGCAUCACUACCAGAUGGACCUGCGUUGUAUUAGCUAGUUGGUGGGGUAACGGCUCACCAACGCGACGAUACGUAGCCGACCUGAGAGGUGAUCGGCCACACUGGGACUGAGACACGGCACAGACUCCUACGGGAGGCGGCAGUAGGGAAUCUUCGGCAAUGGACGGAGGUCUGACCGAGCAACCGCCGCGUGAGUGAAGAAGGUUUUCGGAUCGUAAAGCUCUGUUGUAAGAGAAGAACGAGUGUGAGAGUGGAAAGUUCACACUGUGACGGUAUCUUACCAGAAAGGGACGGCUAACUACGUGCCAGCAGCCGCGGUAAUACGUAGGUCCCGAGCGUUGUCCGGAUUUAUUGGGCGUAAAGCGAGCGCAGGCGGUUAGAUAAGUCUGAAGUUAAAGGCUGUGGCUUUACCAUAGUACGCUUUGGAAACUGUUUAACUUGAGUGCAAGAGGGGAGAGUGGAAUUCCAUGUGUAGCGGUGAAAUGCGUAGAUAUAUGGAGGAACACCGGUGGCGAAAGCGGCUCUCUGGCUUGUAACUGACGCUGAGGCUCGAAAGCGUGGGGAGCAAACAGGAUUAGAUANCCUGGUAGUCCACGCCGUAAACGAUGAGUGCUAGGUGUUAGACCCUU
RNAcentral lists this ribosomal RNA (802 nucleotides) under uncultured Streptococcus sp. RNAcentral's name for it is "bacterial SSU rRNA". It matches the Rfam family "Bacterial small subunit ribosomal RNA", at positions 45 to 832 of the family's 1533-position model. The record is from RNAcentral. Lineage: Bacteria; Bacillati; Bacillota; Bacilli; Lactobacillales; Streptococcaceae.